AAUUAUCUCAAUGUCGGGUUGAUCUGCAGGAGGUCAGAACACAGAAAAAGGAAGAAGUCUUUGAUUGGAAGGACUCAAGACAGUAUCAAGAAAGUUGGCCACAAGACAAAAAGGCUGGAGUGCAGUGGUGCGAUCUCGGCUCAUUACAACCUCGUCCACCUCCUGUUGGCCAGACUGGUCUUGAACUCCUGACCUCAAGUGAUCCACCCACCUCUGACUCCCAAAGUGCUGGGAUUACUGUGCCUGGUCCUCACUUUUUGUUUGUUCUCCAAAUAAAGACUUUUCUGGGC
RNAcentral lists this long non-coding RNA (290 nucleotides) under Callithrix jacchus (white-tufted-ear marmoset). RNAcentral's name for it is "lncRNA (ENSCJAG00000079016.1)". Lineage: Eukaryota; Metazoa; Chordata; Mammalia; Primates; Cebidae. The record is from RNAcentral.